UGGAUCCUUUUGGAAAGGUGAGGGUUGGGGUUCUGGGCCUUCUAUGUCUCUUCUGUAUCUAUUAUGGUUUUCAUUCUCUUUUUUAUUACUAGAGAUAGAAAAUCCAAUGCAAAUUGGUUUAAAUAUACAGGGGACUUUAUUGCUUAUAUAAGUGAAAAUGGGCAUCAGUUAAGUUUUGAUCCAGCUGCUCAAAUGAUAUAUAAUCAUGGACUCAGUUUCUCUAAGGUUUCCACUCUGCCCUUCACAGUGUUCCUAUCCUUCUCAGGCUCCAUAUGCUGUCCUCCCCACCAUUGCUAUCCCCACAGAGCCAAGAUCUCUCCAUGUGAUGGAGAAAAGCAACCCUACAGAUGUUGACUUCACAUCACGGAGCCACAAUAUCCAGCAGAAAAGCAUCUCUUCUUGGGAAUCCAUUCACUUUCUCAUUAGCCUUACUGGGUCAUGUGCCCAUCUCUGAGCCAAUCACGGUGGGAAAUGGGCUAUGCUGGGUGUCUUCGGCCAAUCACAGGGCAUCUCUGUAAUGAGUCCAUUCCAAGUCUACCAGUGAGAAAGUAGGCGGUAGGAAUGAUGCUGGAGAGGCACCACCAAUUGACUGCUACCCUUUGCCCUUCAUUAACUCUAAUCCUUAAUGACAUUGACACCUGCAGGCAGACUUUGGAAAAAGGCGUUUAUUGGUGUGGUGGUCUCAACACUCCCCAUGAAUUGGAACACAUGGCCCCCAGGGCCCCCCACCCCCUCCCUAGCAUCCCUCCCCUGUCCCACCCCAUCCCCUGGACCCUGGGAAUGGAAGACAAUGUGGGAUGGGGCCCAUGCCCCCGUCUGAGGUACAGUCACUGCGCCUUGCCCUCUCCUUUUCUCCACCAGACUCUGGGUGGUGUGGUUUGGGGUGGGUGUUUAUAUAGAGGGUCUCCUGGGAGUCGGAGUUGGUGACAUGGCAUCUUUGUCUGGGCUCAGGAUGUCUGUGUGAUGCCUCUCUGUCCCCCACUUUGUGUGGUGUGGUGUACCAGGGUGGAGUGUUCCUACAGUCAGAGCUGAGGCUGCGGCCUCUCAGCGUCCCUUCCUGACACCAGAUGCCUACCCAGGGGGAAAUACAGCUAGUCACCAGCUACCGGACAGCUGGAGCCAGGGGGCUAUUGCUGGUCACAGUCGCUGGUGUGUGUGUGUGUGUGUGUGUGUGUGUCUGUGUGUGUGUAUGUGUGUGUGGUGCGUCUGAGUGUCUGUGAGGGCGGUCAGGUAGCCUUUGGGAGGUACAGUUGGUGGAGAGGCCAGGAAGUGAUAGACCAGCAAGCUCACACCUGUGGGCCAGCUGCAAAGGCCCCAAGGGCAGCUGGCUGGUGCCGCAGGUGGGGAAAUCAAGGCCAAGGGGAGUGGUGGCAAGGGUAGGGCAAAGCACUGAAACAGACAGGUGACUCCUGCCACCAGUCUGACAGUUGGAUGGAAGCACCGAUUGGCCCAGGAGGGGGCCAGAAAAUCCAGGGUGUGGAGGGACAGGAAAAGUGGGAAGGUCUCAGGCCACUGAGCCAGCGAUGGGGCCUCUGGCUACAGGAAGCUGGUGGUUGACAGCAGGGAAGCCCAGAGCCUAGAUGGAGGUCCCCCACUUACUCACAAAGGCUGAAUGACAGCUUGACAGGUGAGUGCGAUGCCCCUCCCCACUCCCAACCUGCCAGGAGUUGCCCUUUCGACAGGGGGAGGGGUAGUGUGCGUGCAUAUAUUGGGGAAGCAGGGAGCCUGGUAAGCCUCUCUUCACAGCUUCCACUGCAGAGCCUCAUACCUACCUCCAGCCAGAGGUGAGAGGCAAUAGGGUUGGGGACAGUGGACAUGGGGGUUUUGGGGGCGGGAGGACGGCUGAGUCCCUUCCCCCAGCCCACCCCCCCACACACACACAAACAGAGACACAGACACCUACACAUGCAUGCAGGCUCACACUCACACACCCACACCCACACAAGCCAGUUGACAGCCUGAGCUAAGAGAGAGGGGUAUGGGGUGGCGGGAGUGGGUCACAAUCGGAAACGUGAACGGGUGGCGAGAAUGGCUGUAGAAAGAUGCAUAAUUUUGCGUUAUCCCUCACAGUGAUGGGUUCUCUGAAGAUCUUUCUUCCUCUGCCUCCUCCUCUUCUCCUCUCUCUUCUUCCUUGGUGGCCGAGAGCUCUUCUGCCCCCACGAGACCCACGGCUCUUGCUCCCCCGUUUCUCUCACUCUUGGCCUGAGGCCCCCUGCAGGGGGAGGUGAGCUCCACUGGGUUGCGCCUACAUUCUCCACCACAGCCAGCCCAGGGCGGAGAGGAGGGCCAGGAGCCCUGGGGGCCUCGGGGCUGAGUUCUCCAGGGAUCCUGGGCCUGGGGGAAGAGAAGGGG
RNAcentral lists this long non-coding RNA (2352 nucleotides) under Homo sapiens (human). RNAcentral describes it as "non-protein coding lnc-VSIG10L-3:1". The record is from RNAcentral. Lineage: Eukaryota; Metazoa; Chordata; Mammalia; Primates; Hominidae.